Molecule: small RNA, 1036 nt
Filed under: Drosophila mojavensis
Lineage: Eukaryota; Metazoa; Arthropoda; Insecta; Diptera; Drosophilidae
Description: GI25522
Source: RNAcentral
UCCAGUGUUGCUUAGUUGAGUGUGCGACGCGUUUGGCUUUAGUCGCUUGCCGUUAGUUUCGUUCACCAAAUGGCACCGAUAGUGAUGAAAUUUGCCAAGCGGAAAUUGGAAAUUGGAAAGUGCAAAGUGCAAAAUGGCCAGGGGAAAAUGCAUAAUGUCAAAGAAAAAGGCCCAAAUGCAAAGCAUUUAUAUCGCAAUGUGUGGCAAAGGUGAAGUGAAUUUGUUAUUAUUAUAUUAUUAUUUUUUUGGCUGAUUUCGCCGUCGCAGUCGCUGCGUCGCUGUCGCGAGGGCUUUGAACUCCCGACGUUCGCGUACCCGUUCAACGGCCCGCAGAUCGCAAGUAACGACACCGCCCCCGCCCAGUUGCUGUAGUGAAAAAGUGUAACAAAAAUCAAAGUGCGCCGAGCUGUAUUAUCUGGAACGCCUUAGAUAACCGCCUCACCCCCACCCCCUGCGAGCGGAGCAGCGAACAAUCAGCUAUUGACCCCGCUUCUGAGCAUUGAACUGCGAAAUGGGCCAUCAACAAAACUGGAUGUACAUACAUAUGUAUAUGUAUACAUACAUAUACAUAUUGCAGCUACAUGAAGCACACAAAAAAACUGCCGACGCUGGCAGCGCAGCUAGCGUCAGCGCCAACAACAGCGCCAGCGACAGCAACAGCGACAGCGACAGGCGAAUGUCUUAGUUAGCGAGAAAAAAGGAGGAAGAAGAAGAAGCAGCAGCAGUAGCAGUUGAAAAAAAACAUUGCAGCUCGCUAGGGGCGAAAAAAUGGGGUCUUACUUCAACUUGGCGGCGAAUCAAUCGAUACACGGCCGCAAUCCGUUGGCCAAUUCGCUGGGGACAAGGGCACAACAAAGCGCUGAAACCUUGACUCACGCUGGUCGGUGGAUGGGACUAUAGGACCAGCUGAAUACAUACAUACAGACAUAUAUAUUUAUACUUGAUUUUCCCAGGAAAUGUCUUUCCAUUUCUAAGCUAAUUGAAAAUAUUAAAAGAGUAAGGACUUAUUAUUUUAUGUAGGCCAUUCAAAUUUUGU